RNAcentral lists this transfer RNA (102 nucleotides) under Xanthobacter flavus. Its description in RNAcentral is "tRNA-OTHER". The record is from RNAcentral. Lineage: Bacteria; Pseudomonadati; Pseudomonadota; Alphaproteobacteria; Hyphomicrobiales; Xanthobacteraceae.
GGGAAGCGCAGUUAAGAAGCGCCGAAAAGCGUUGUAAACGCUCAAUCAGGCUUACCCUUCACACGGGAGGGGUCGCAGGUUCAAUCCCUGCAUCGCCCACCA